GACGAACGCUGGAGGCGUGCUUAACACAUGCAAGUCGAACGAUGAAAUGGAGCUUGCUCCAUGGAUUAGUGGCGAACGGGUGAGUAACACGUGAAUAACCUGCCCUUAAUUUUGGAAUAACCCAGGGAAACCUGGGCUAAUACCGGAUAAGUAAACCUGUGGCAUCACAUGGUUUUGGAAAGUUUUUCGAUUAAGGAUGGAUUCGCGGCCUAUCAGCUUGUUGGUGAGGUAAUGGCUCACCAAGGCGACGACGAGUAGCCGGCCUGAGAGGGUGAACGGCCACACUGGGACUGAGACACGGCCCAGACUCCUACGGGAGGCAGCAGUGGGGAAUAUUGCGCAAUGGACGAAAGUCUGACUCAGCGACGCCACGUGAGGGACGAAGGUCUUCGGAUUGUAAACCUCUUUCAGCAGGGACGAAGCGAAAGUGACGGUACCUGCAGAAGAAGCACCGGCUAACUAUGUGCCAGCAGCCGCCGUAA
This 482-nucleotide ribosomal RNA is filed under the name uncultured bacterium. Its description in RNAcentral is "partial 16S ribosomal RNA". It matches the Rfam family "Bacterial small subunit ribosomal RNA", at positions 28 to 523 of the family's 1533-position model. The record is from RNAcentral.